UACACUCUCCAUUUGGAGCAGAGCUUCUUCGGCAGCCCCAGGUCUCCCGGGAUCUUCCUCGGUGUCCUGCGGAGGCUCUGGCUCCAGCGUGGGCUCCAGCGCAGGCUGGGCUUCCGGCUGGGCUUCAGCGCUCCGGCCAGGCCCAAGGCGAGGCGGCUUGACCGGGGUGGGCGGUGGCGCUGCAGGGCCUUUCCGGCCCGAAAGGGCCCUUCGGAGGCUCUGUACCUUCUGCAAUCCGGUGCGCCGCAGCCGCUGGGCCCUGGACUCCACCGGCUCCUCGUCCGAGCUCUCUCCAACUUCGGCCUCCAGCUGCUCUGGGCCCAGCUCGGACUGGUCCGCCGGGCCCAAGGGCUCUGGUGCCUUCUGGAAAGCGCUGGCUGGGACUUCACCCUCCUCCUGCAUGUGACGGACACAGCACUGAUCCUGGCAGCUCCUUACCCCCAGCAGCCCGAAACUCACUCCUUAAUUACACAAGGGAAACCUUUUACCUCCGCAGCCAGAGUCUGGGGGGAAAGGCAGGCGUGGGAAGCACUAACUCCCUCUCUGGAUAUCUGGAACAAGGAGGACCUUAAACUUAACAAUAAAGCCAAUGAUGGUUCUACCAGUCUCCCCAAAGCCUCAAGUUUAAAAGCCAUAUGAACUGGCUGAUAGUGGAAAAUGGAAGCCAUGAGGAAAUCAGAUUAGAGUACUACCUGGUGAAGCCUGGAGGACCUACCAAGAAAAGCAAACUUGGAUCUUUGCAAGGUUAGAAGAACGAAUGGGAUCCAAGAAAAAGACUGGUCAUAUUCAACGGCUAAGAGCGUUGGAGAAGGCCUGUGGAGUCUCAGCAGGUCAGGUCCAUGACUCAUGAGUAGACACCUGUGUUUCUACUGCCUGGUGCCAUAAUCAUAAACAAGAGUAAUCAGCAAAUGCCUUUCCUUUCUCCUGCUGAUGUUUUGCCCGUACUCAGACCCCUUGACUUCUUAGCUUCUACCCAAAGUGAGCUUGUCAUCAAAGUUCUCCAAAAAUCUGCAGUGUUCUCUUGAGCAAAUCUGCUUCCAAGACUAUAGCGCUCUGAUGCAUUGAGAUGACAGCAAGCGGCAUUUUUCAGUCCUGUUACCCAUAUGGCUGCUACCACUGCAUCCUGUUAAAUAAUGUCUUCAACCCAAGAAACCUGCUUCCUAGGGAAGUUUCUCUCUCUCUGCAUUUGUUCCCACUAGAGAAUGACCAUCACCAGAUUCCUGAACUGAAAAUGCUGUUGACACUUUGGAAACUCGGGCCUCUAUUAAUAGGGUGACCAACUAUCCUGGUUUACCUUGAGUACAGGAUUUUCAAUGCUAAAACCAGAAAAACCAGGAUGGUUGGUCAUCUGCCUCAGACCUAAUAAAUACCAGUCAAUAAUUCAGCCAUGAGCUUUCUUAAGACACUGUCUUUUCUUGACUGUUGAAUAGUCUAGGACUUGAGUAGCAGCUCUUUCUGCUACUGGACACUUGUUUUACUACCCUAUUUCUCUAGAUUUUAUUUUGUGGCUAAUAAUUAAGACAUAAAAUCAUGGGUUCUGGUUAUGCCAAAGCACUCACUCUUCAAAAGUUUCCAUCCAGAGUUGGAUAAUCCCACACAGAAGGUGUUCUUUCAACAGACCAGCAUCCAAUAGACCCAAUGCAGCAUUUUUCUUCCUGGUUCCACAUUAAUACAUCCUAUCUCUGCUAUGCUUAGGUCCCUGAUUUAUAAAUAUUUCAGACAUAUUUUCUCAGGACACAGGGAGUACUUAAACUUCCACAUAGCAGAGAUACGACAUACAAUAAGCUGUUAUCUGGAAACUCCUAGUGAUGCUUUGAGUACUUUACAGUAAUCUUUCUGGUCUUCCUCUCAACCCCAUUAAGUUUUUCUGUAACUAGCUGGUGUAUCUGUCUCCAUCUUUAAGGAAUAAGUCCCUAUUUGCUCAUGCUAUAAUCUCCCUCAUGCUCUCCGUCCCUCCUUCCCUCUCCUUCUCUCUUUCUGUCUCUCUCUCUCUCCACCCUGAUUGUGAGAUGCUACACCUUAAUAGUUUUCUAUACCUAGAUCCCUUUUGAAGGAGUAAUUUCAGCCAUCACUGAAAUCUAUGCUUUUUUAUCUUGUUAGAUUUAUUUAGGACCUAAUGACUGUUUCUGAGCUAAUAAUAACGCAAUCAGCUCAUAUUUUUCUGAUACUCUAAGAGCAAUUACAUCUAGUUGCAUCACCUUUUCCUUUUUUAUUCAUGUAUCUUAGGCUUCUCAAGAUAUGAGACUAGCACUUGAGCCUGAGAUAAGCCUUAAGAAUUCCAGGAUAGUCUCUCCAUAGUUCCCUUUCUUGGAUAAAGUCAUUUCAAAACAUCUUAGUGGAUCAGAUUUGGAGCAGCCUACUUACACUGGUGAAUACCACAACUAAUAAAUAAUUGUUCUGCACCCCACCCACAUCUAAAGGAUUCAGGGUGUCUUUUACAGAUAUAGGACUCUCCUUUCUCUGUUUCUCUUCUCUCUCUUCUCCUUGAUUAAAGCUUUGCUUCAGCUGUCCCUGCUCACUACGGCACUGCACCUCACCAGCAUCUUCAUGGCCCUCACAUGGCUCAUGUGCAUAUCCUAACUCUGAUACUAAGGGAGGAGACCACCCCUCAUAUUGUCUUAUGCCCAAUUUCUGCCUCCAAAGAAAGAAGAAGUAAAAACUAAAAGGCAGAAAUGAAAUCCACAAGCAGACAGCCCGGCGCCACACCCUGGGCCUGGUAGUUAAAGAUCGACCCCUGACCUAAUCGGUUAUUUGCAUAAGAAAAGCACUGUGAAGAUCCCUGUCCUGUUCUGUUCCAUUCUAAUUACCGGUGUAUGCAGCCCCCAGUCAUGUACCCCUGCUUGCUCAAUCGAUCACGACCCUCUCACGUGGACCCCCUUAGAGUUGUGGGCCCUUAAAAGGGACAGGAAUUGCUCACUCGGGGAGCUUGGUUGUUGGAGAUGUGAGUCUUGCUAAAGCUCCCAGCCGAAUAAAGCCCUUCCUUCUUA
Molecule: long non-coding RNA, 2987 nt
Filed under: Homo sapiens (human)
Lineage: Eukaryota; Metazoa; Chordata; Mammalia; Primates; Hominidae
Description: HSALNT0361153
Source: RNAcentral